Molecule: non-coding RNA, 263 nt
Filed under: Candidatus Daviesbacteria bacterium GW2011_GWA1_41_61
Lineage: Bacteria; Candidatus Daviesiibacteriota
Also listed under: 1 other name
Source: RNAcentral
UUCAAUUAAUAAAAUUAUUUGUGAUUUCUUCUAUGAGUUAUAAGAUUCCUUCGGAAUCUUGCGACAACAGUCUAAAGAUUCCUUCGGAAUCUUGUAACCUUGAAGUAUCCUAAACUACCUUUUGACCCCGUAUCGACUGAGCCCUUAAGAGAGUUUCCGUUUAAACUCCUGGGCGAGAUGCAAUGUUUUCUAACUUGCAUAAUAUGCCGUACUCCCGAUUUAAUCGGGAUGAAGAUAUAGUCAGCGCUCACAGUAAUGUGAGA